AUGACAAAAGGAAAAAGGUCACAAUUUCUUGAGUAUCUUCCUUUCUAUUUUGCAGCUACUGCCAUGCUGAUCGGACAGCAAGCCCAGAACAGUGUUUUAUCUCAGUCUUUCCUUCAAGUGACUGCCUGUUGCCUUUCCCAGGCCAUUUCCACUAUAAGAAGUGUUCACCAUAGAAACAAUCAGGAGAUGAUGCAAACAUGGGCAGAUACAUAGUCUCUGUCUCAUCAUCCAGUAAGUAUUGACUUUUCAAGUGAGAAUUUAUUUAUGACUACAGUGUGACCAGCAUGAAUGAAUUGAGCCUUCAAGUGUUGCUAGAUUCCUAUUGUCCCAUGACAGAGGUUUGGUGAUCCACCUUGGUUUUUAUUCCAGGCUGUAAAAGAGUUACCCCAAAGGCAGAACCCUGUCCCCAAAACAUGUCCUUCAUUUUGGGUAUUUUCUUUAAAAUCUGGAAAGAAAAUUGCUGUUCCCUCACUAUUGAUGCCACUGACCAUUUCUGGUAUGCCCCAUUAGUUAUACUACAGCCUCAUCACACCAGAGCAUGGAUUGACUUUAAAUCCGGUUUCGACCUCUUGAAGAAUCCUGGGGUUUAUAGUUUAGUGAGGCCCAGAACUGUCUACUGAGCAGUUUAAAGGCCUCCUUCCCUAAACUAUAAGCCUGCCUUCUUCAAGAGGCAGAAACUGAAUUUAAAGUGGAUCAAUGCUAGUCAAGAUUGAUGAGAAUUUCAGUCCAGCAUUCUCUGGAGGACCACAAACUACUCACACAUAUUUACAAACUGAAUAUUGGCCAAGCCACCGUUUCUGCUGAUAUUUCUCCCCAAAAAUGUUGGACAUUUUCAUUUAUGCAGGAUGCUCAGAACCCAUUUUCAGAGAGGUGUACAAACAUUAAUGUUCCAUCCUUGAUGUCAUGAAGGGGAAUGGGAGAAAAGAGCAACUAUUUGAUUUAUAGCUUGCAUUUCUCCCAAAAUUUGACUCGAAACAGUUAGCUCUGGAGCAUUUUUGUAGGACAACAUCAUCAGCUGGAGUAUAUGUUAAUUUAUUUACUGUGCAUUUUAUGCUAUCCAACUAUCUAAAAGGUAGGCCUUUCUACUCAUGAAAUCAAUGGCUGUGUUAUGACCUCAUCACACUUGAGAGGGGAAAGCAUGGGUGACUGUCCCUUUGAGAUAACGAAUUGCCCCUCUUAUUUUUGGAAAGGCAUGACCUUUCAGAGACCAUAACCUUUUGGAAAACCAGGAAUCUCCGUAGCUUUUUGGAAGUGUGGCCCUUUUGGAGAUUAAUUGACAUUCACAUUAUUUGAAAUAAUCAUAACCUUUUGUAAAGUAUGAUCUUCCUGAGAAGAGUUCAAUACUCUCCUUAGUGGUAAAUAUCCACUAGUACUCAUGCAAGGCAAAUUAGGCUUCUCAGCUGUUAGAUUGAUAUACCCGGUUAUCUCUCUGAACUGUUAGGAACAAAGAUAUGCCAAUGCACAAAAUAUAUAGCAGAUCUUCAGAAGUGUUAUUUCAUCCCCCCCAAAAAAAACUAUUCUCCCAAAAAUAUAUUGCUUUUAAAUUAUGCUCUCAAGAGACUAAACAUUAGUAGUCUUCGUUAAAAGUAGCAUUCUGUUUUAGUCUCUUCUUUGCUGCACACAGACUAAUACUCUUCAGUCUACUACAUUACUGAACAUUGACUCAAUUACAGACUGACUAUAAGGUAAAAGUAAAGGUUUCCCCUGACGUUAAGUCCAGUCGUGACUGACUCUGAGGGUUGGUGCUUGUUAGUGUAUGUUUAUGUUUUGAGGUUGAAAUGUUAUAUCAAAUUAAACUGUUUGGUGUUUUGCAACUGUGUUUCCAGCAAAGCAUUUCAGCAGUGCAGGAGUUUUAAUCACUAGACUGCUUGAGUGAUUGCCCACAGGACCUAUGGGGCACAGUUUCCGUUUGAACUGUCUGGCCGGAACUCAUGAACUGUGGGAUGUGCUUUCUUAUCAGUUGAGCUGUGUGAGCCGUUUGCUGUGUGGAGAGGCAAAAGAAAAAUGCCAGCUUCCAGCGAUGGCUUUUGCUGCGUUUGUAAAUAUGAUUUGUAAAUACUGAAUAAAUGUUUGAACUUCAGACUGCAGAUGUCUGUGAGUCUGUACUGCUACUCAGAACGAGAGCAGCAGUCUGACAUUGGAGAGGAAUUGGUGAGGGCAGAAGUUCACCGAUUCAUCAGGGUGCUGAUCUGGAGCUGAUGAUCGAUGGUUUUAAAGAAACCCACCAACAGACGCACCCUGACCCCUGGCUCUGAUUUUUCACACGUCAGACGCACCCUGACCCCUGGCUCUUCUGAUUUUUGACAGUGCUCAUCUCCAUUUCUAAGCUGAAGAGCCGGUGUUGUCCAUAGACACCUCCAAGGUCAUGUGGCCGGCAUGACUGCAUGGAGCGCCGUUACCUUCCCGCCGGAGUGGUACCUAUUGAUCUACUCAGAUUUGCAUGUUUUCGAACUGCUAGGUUGGCAGGAGCUGGGGCUAACAGCGGGCGCUCAUUUCGCUCCCGGGAUUUGAACCUGGGACCUUUUGGUCCACAAGUUCAGCAACUCAGCACUUUAACACACUGUGCCACCAGGCGCCCGGCAUACUGACACUACCAACUGUAUACUGUACAGACUGACUUCUAAACUGUAGUAUACUGCUUCUGAUUCAAGCUGGCUUCUAAAAUGGAGUCUCAGUCUGAGUAGUCCCAGAUCUGGUCGCAUGGUCUGCAGUCCCUCCCACAACCGCAAACAUAGAGUUAAAGGGAAACUGCAUAUCAAAAUAUACAUACAAUAUAGUAAGCAAUCACAAUUAUAUAUAUAUAAAUUAUAUAUAUAAAACAACAGUGCUCAUCUCCAUUUCUAAGCUGAAGAGCCGGUGUUGUCCAUAGACACCUCCAAGGUCAUGUGGCCGGCAUGACUGCAUGGAGCGCCGUUACCUUCCCGCCGGAGUGGUACCUAUUGAUCUACUCAGAUUUGCAUGUUUUCGAACUGCUAGGUUGGCAGGAGCUGGGGCUAACAGCGGGCGCUCAUUUCGCUCCUGGGAUUUGAACCUGGGACCUUUUGGUCCACAAGUUCAGCAACUCAGCACUUUAACACACUGUGCCACCAGGCGCCCGGCAUACUGACACUACCAACUGUAUACUGUACAGACUGACUUCUAAACUGUAGUAUACUGCUUCUGAUUCAAGCUGGCUUCUAAAAUGGAGUCUCAGUCUGAGUAGUCCCAGAUCUGGUCGCAUGGUCUGCAGUCCCUCCCGCAACCGCAAACAUAGAGUUAAAGGGAAACUGCAUAUCAAAAUAUACAUACAAUAUAGUAAGCAAUCACAAUUAUAUAUAUAAAACAACUUGUAUAGGAGGCUUGUAGAAGGUUGCUAUUUCCAACACUUUUAUCGACAGCAAUCCCAUUUCGAGUUUCACCUCCCCAUUACACUCAACAUGUGGAAAGUUAAGAGCUAGCAAUACAUUCAUCUUCACAAGGUCA
This is a long non-coding RNA of Anolis carolinensis (green anole), 3462 nucleotides long. The record is from Ensembl. NCBI's taxonomy places the organism in Eukaryota, Metazoa, Chordata, Lepidosauria, Squamata, Anolidae.